This 466-nucleotide ribosomal RNA is filed under the name uncultured bacterium. Its description in RNAcentral is "bacterial SSU rRNA". It matches the Rfam family "Bacterial small subunit ribosomal RNA", at positions 338 to 795 of the family's 1533-position model. The record is from RNAcentral.
CCUACGGGUCGCAGCAGUGGGGAAUAUUGCACAAUGGGCGCAAGCCUGAUGCAGCCAUGCCGCGUGUAUGAAGAAGGCCUUCGGGUUGUAAAGUACUUUCAGCGGGGAGGAAGGCGAUAAGGUUGAUAACCUUGUCGAUUGACGUUACCCGCAGAAGAAGCACCGGCUAACUCCGUGCCAGCAGCCGCGGCGAUACGGAGGGUGCAAGCGUUAAUCGGAAUUACUGGGCGUAAAGCACACGCAGGCGGUCUGUCAAGUCGGAUGUGAAAUCCCCGGGCUCAACCUGGGAACUGCAUUCGAAACUGGCAGGCUGGAGUCUUGUAGAAGGGGGGUAGAAUUCCAGGUGUAGCGGUGAAAUGCGUAGAGAUCUGGAGGAAUACCGGUGGCGAAGGCGGCCCCCUGGACAAAGACUGACGCUCAGGUGCGAAAGCGUGGGGAGCAAACAGGAUUAGAUACCCUCGUAGUC